CUGUGCCUGGGCCAUAUGGAAGUUCCCAGGCCAGGGAUUGAUUGAACAUGUACUAUAGCAGCGACCCAAGCUACUGCAGUGAAAAAUGCCAGAUCCCUAACCCACUGCACCACAAGAGAACUCCCUAGAACACCCUAUUUAAAUUCUUUUUAAAACCAGGAAUAAUGAAUUUUACCAAAUGGGUUUAAUUUUUGGUCAUUCAACUUAUUAACAUAGUGAAUUAUAUUAAAGGUUUUUCAACUAUCAAAUCAUCCUACAUUACUGAAAUAAAUUCCAUUUACUUUCUUUAUAUUAAUAAUUAAAUGCACUACAGGAUUAUAUUUAUGUGAUUUAUUUAGCAUUUUACAUUAACAUCCAUAAAUAACAUAUCUAUAUAUAUUUUCAUGGUGAAAUAUUUUGGCAGUUCAUACUUAGAAAAUUUUUUAUCUUUUUACAGCCACAUCCACAGCAUAUGAAAGUUCCUGGGCUAGGAGUGAAUCGGAGAUGCAGCUGCCAGCCUAUGCCACAGCCAUGGCAACAUAGAAUCCAAGCCACAUCUGUGACCUAUGCUGCAGCUUGCAGCAGUGCCAGAUCCUUAACCCAAAGGCCAGGGAUUGAGCUUGCGUCCUCAUGGCACUAUGUGGGGUCCUUAAACCACUGAGGCACAAUAGUAACUCCAGAAAAGUUUUUAAAAUAUUGGAAUUUUCUAUCCUUUAAAAGUUUAAUUGACUUCACCUGUGACUCCAGUCUGGGCUGAUGUUUUUUAGAAUGAAUAUUUGGAAACCCCAGCUUCUCCCUUCACUCAGAAGGGAUAACUCUGAGGCAUGAUCUGUGGUUUUUCAUAAUCCCUAACUACAUGGGAGGCAGCUGCUCACAGCAGGGACCUUCUCCAUAUUGCACCCUUAUGGGCAUCCUUCCCUUCCCUGUCUCUCUUCUCUACUUCCCAUCUAGUGAUUUCUUAGGUCAUCUUCCAAAUACACUGCACUGAAAUCUCUGUCUCAGUGUCUAAACCUGGAGCAAAGCAACCUAGACACUUUCCCAACAGCUCCAUAACAAAAUUCAUUUAAGCUUAUUACCAUUAAUUCUGAGUCUCAUUCAGAGUCAGAACAGAAAGAAAUCAGGCAUUGUGAGGUGAGAGUCAAUGAUGAAAAAAAGUUCUUUGUAGGAACAGUAUUUUCAAAUUCAAUGAUCAGGACAACUAGCUAACAAAUUGUGUCAUCAUUUCAUGAUUCAUUAUAACUGUUGAAUAACAAAGAUUUCCUAUGUUGGUAAAAAAUAUGCUAUUGUUAUGCUUUAAAAAAGAACAAUUGAAGAACACUAUGGCUGUUGUAAUUUUAAUUUGCCCUUUUAAAUUAACUUAUAGCAAAUCUGCAUUUGCCUAUACUUAAUCUUCGGAGUCUAAUAUAAUGUUCUAAAGUUUGAAGGAUUUUUAUGAUUACUAAUAACGUAAGUACUAAUAACAACUUGGGAUUUACAACUCUCUGUAUAGGUUGGGCUUAUUCCAAAUGAUGGAAACUGAUACCAAAGAAAAUCUAAGAGAAUAUCAAUACUUUUUUAAAAAGUCACAAUCCUAUAAAAAAGACACACUGAAGAAAUAUAUUAUUUACUAAUCUGUUAUUAAUAUAACAGACCUAAUCUGCUUUUAGAAGUUGAGUUUCUCUGGUGAUUUACUGGGACCUUAGUUAUACUGAAGGACUACUGUUUGCAGUACUUAUCAUGAGACACACAGGCAUUAAUUACACAGUCCAUCUUACCCAGUAGUGGUAUUGGCUAAAGAGGAUUCAGUGCUGUACUUACAUUUUAAGACUACCUUAUUCUUUCUGAUCAAGACAAGCUCCCUGCUGUGAAUACCUAUACAUCGAACGGAGUGAUUUUAUCUAAUAGAGACCUGAUUAUCUCAGGAAGGCAUACUUUCUUACUCUAUUUCAAAUGGAUAAGAUUUUUUUUUUUAAAUCAAACAACAUUUUUGGUGCACUUUCCCUGGGAAGAAAUUUACUUUUUCCAUGAUCAUUUAACAACUCUUUUUGGCAUCAGAUUAGUCUUAGAUACACAUCCUCCACCCAGUUUCACAACUCUCAAGGCUGCUUGUGGAUUUGGAAGAUUGACCUAGCCCAAACAUUCAUAUAAAGAAUGCCCUUGAGAGCAUAUUUUGAUUAGUCUGGACUCAAUUAAUAUCUGCUCUCUUCAGAUUUAAAUUUCACUCUCAUAAGAUAGCCAGAGACAAUUUUCCAAGAAAAAUAAUGUAAACCUUUUUAUUUGUAUUCUUAAAAAAAAAGAAACUACAUAUAUAAGAGAAAACAUAGUUUGGAUAGAUUUUUGAAAACUGCUAUUUUUAUUAACAUGGAUUUGUUCCUUUUGAAAUUUGAAUCAUUAUUUGCAAAGUAUAAUUCUGAACUAUUAAAAAAUCCACUUUAGUAAAGUAUGGAUUUAACCUUUUGUUAACAGACUUAUUUAUCUUCCUUUAGGUCUUUAAGAAUACCAUCUAUCAUCAAAAAAAAUACAGUAAUAACAAGUGAUGGUGAGGAUGUGAAGAAAAGGAAACCCUGUAUACUGUUGGUGAGAAUGUAAAUUUGUGCAGCCACUGUAGAAAGCAGUAUGGAGGUUUCUCAAAAAAUUAAAAAUAGAACUACUCUGUGACCCAGCAAUUCCAUUCCUGGGUAUAUAUCUGAAAAAAAAAAAAGACACUAAUUUGAAAAGAUACAUGCAUCCCAAUGUUCAUAGCAGUAUUAUUUGUAAUUGCCAAGAUAUGGAAGCAUAUCAAUCCAUCAAUGGAUGAAUGGAUAAAGGUGUGUGUGUGUGUGUGUGUGUGUGUGUGUGUAUUCCACAAUGGAAUACUACUUAGCAAUAAAAAGAAUGAAAUUUUGCCAUUUUCAGUGAUAUAGAUAGACUUGAGGGUAUUGUGUUAAGUGAAACAAGUCAGAGAAAGACAAAUACUAUAUGAUAUCACUUAUGAGUGGGAUCUAAAAAAAUACAACCAACUAGUGACUAUAAGGAUAUGUUACACAGCACAAGGAAUAAUGCCAAUAUUUUGUAGUAACUAUAAAGAGAGUAUAACCUUUAAAACUAUGAGUCACUAUUUUGUACACCUAUAACAUUAAAUACUGUAAAUUAAUAACUAUAUCUCAAUAACACUAUACUUCAAUUAAAGACUUUUUUAAAUUGCCUAAAUUAAUGAAAGCCUGCUGAAAAAUUUUAAAGAAGUUUGGUAACUACAUUCUAUUUCAUGAUUUUAGAUAAAUUUUGUUCUGUUACAAAAAUCAAUGUAGCAUUUAACAUAUUUUUUUCCUUUAGAUAAUGUUCUAAUGAGAAGGCUUUAUGUGCAUUAUUUCAUUUUAUAACUUGACCAAGAUCAUCUGGCUAUUAAAUAGUGGAAUCAAGAGAGAAAUCCAGACAGUUUGAUUCCAAAAUUUAUGCUAUUUAUUAGAGUGUUUGUUUAUGAUACCCUUUCCAUAAAGGAUUUUUUUCCCAAGAUUAAUUUUAAAUCUGACCUGCAGGGAUACAUCAAAUGCAGUAAGAUUACAUAAAUUAGAAACAAACUCAGAAUGGAUAAGUAAUGAGAUCCUGUUGUAUAACACUGGGAACUAUACCUAGUCACUUAUGAUGGAGCAAAAAAAAAAAAAAAAAAGAUAAUAUUCUAAGAAAGGUAAGUUUCUAGAGAAAAAAUUUAAAAUGUGGUGGUAAAUACCAAGAGCUAUUUUAUAAGGUCAGAGAUUUGGUUGUUACUAUACAAAAUGGUGACAUAAGUAAAAUUUGUCAGGAACAUUCACAUACCAUUUACUUACUCUUUUGGAGGAAGGGGACUCUGUCAUCUCAGAAUCUUAGACCCAGUACCAACCCUCAACUUGGGAAGGAAAGAUGCCCUAAACAAAUUAGAACUGGGGAUGCCAAUUGCACAUUUCACAAACGAGGUAACUCAGACACCAAAAGGACAAUGCAUUUGCUCAAUUUCCAGAGGAACCAAGUUAGAAAAUGGUACAUGUAUACUGAUUAACAUUCAGUUAAUGGGUCAUGUUGCAAUUCUAAUAAUAAAACAACUAUUAUAUCUGAGAAGUCACAAAAAUUAUUCCUAUUGUGCUAAAUUUCAUUAACAUAAUAAUAUUAAUAGAAUGUCCUAUUUUUUCUGUAAAGCCCUAUUGAAGGGUGACAUCUUUAAAAUUUAAUUUUAUAUAGUCUCCUCAAGCAAGCUGUCUCCUCUCAAUCCAGUCCAGUUUAGGUGCUCUUCCCACAUGCUUCCAUAGUUCCCUUUCUCCAUCAUGGUACUUUCUCUACCUUGAUUGUCUUAUGUCUUACCCAUCUCCUCCAGUGAACUCUAAACUCUUCGAAUACAGACAUCAAAUUUAUGCAUCUCUAUGCACUAAAAUCAUGUUAUUGACUCGAAUAAAAUAGGUGCCCAGUCAGUGCUAAAUGGAUGAAUUAAUGAAUAUUCAUGGUUCCAAGACCCCAUUAUUAUUGCCUACCCCUAAGAUCUGCUCACAGCUUGUUCUCAAGGUAAUCAAGAUUUUAGUUAAUAUAGGUUACCAUGAUGUUCCUCUUAAAGAUAUUUAAGUUUUCACUGGGGACAUAUAAGAGUCUACAAAAAUUCUGGUAAUGGACUUUCAGUCAUUGUAAUAGACUAUUAGGGAGGGAAGGAUGUACUUUUUUAAACAGAGAGACUCUCCAUAUCACAUCACCACUUAAACAGCCCACAUCACCACCACCCAGCCUUGGUGUUAUGCAGAGACAACAAACAGAUAUGUAUGCUUUCAGAGAGAUCCCGUGGGUCUGAUGAAUGCUAAGGUACAUGAAACCAUAUUGCUGUGAUUGGACCUGACUAGAUUAAACUUCCUUUUGGCUUGCUUUGCAAUGCUUCUGGUAUGAGAUGAUAUGAAAGAGAGAAGUAGUACAUGGCUAGUUGCAACCUUAGUAAGCAUGUGUCUUAUGGUUGCUGAGGCCUCCACUUUUUGCUAUUUUGAUUCUCACCUGGUAAUGAUUCCAGAUGUAUGACAUCUGAAAAAGACAU
RNAcentral lists this long non-coding RNA (4978 nucleotides) under Sus scrofa (pig). RNAcentral's name for it is "lncRNA (ENSSSCG00000046761.1)". Lineage: Eukaryota; Metazoa; Chordata; Mammalia; Artiodactyla; Suidae. The record is from RNAcentral.